Molecule: ribosomal RNA, 355 nt
Filed under: unidentified
Description: Burmoniscus sp. partial 12S ribosomal RNA
Source: RNAcentral
GAUACCCUAUUAUUCCAGAGUAAUCUUCCCUGAGGUAGUAGUUGUUAUAAGCUUGAAACCUAAAGAAUUUGGCGGUGCUUUUUCUAAUCAGAGGAACCUGUUUGUUAAUAGAUAAGCCACUUUAUCUCUUUCUUUAGAUUAGUUUGUAUACCGUCAUCUAGAAUGAUUUUUUUAUAAAUUAUUUUUAUGGUGAGAGCACAAAAGUUAGAUCAAGGUGCAGCUUUUUAAAGAUCUAAAUGGGUUACAAUUAAAAUCAGAGUAGAAGUUUCCUUGUUAAGAGAACAGAAAACGGAUUUGAAAGUAAUUUAAGUUUAGUAUGCUAAAAUGAGUGAAGUUCAAAGUAUGUACACAUCGC